Long non-coding RNA from Bufo bufo (common toad), 388 nucleotides. RefSeq lists it as uncharacterized. NCBI's taxonomy places the organism in Eukaryota, Metazoa, Chordata, Amphibia, Anura, Bufonidae. The record is from RefSeq and is a predicted model, not a curated record. The transcript has 6 exons.
CUAGGAUAUAAGGUUCCCUGCAGGCUGUAGACUGCCUCUUGCAGCCCGCAUGUCGUGGAGGUCGGACGGAGGCGGUGUGUGCGGGUGCUGUGCGGCCCUGCGCCAUGCGCCUGCAGUAGGAUGGCUCCGCACUCCAGUGUGAAUAUGUGAUAACUGAAUCUGCAGAGGUUCUAAUGGGAUCUUUAACAACAGAUCUUGAAGCAUCAGACGUCUGAGGAAAAGUCUUCCCAUGAGUGGGGAACAGAUGAUUGCCCCAGCAUCCUGACAAGCUUCCACCUUCAACAAAAUCUAAUGUGCUAACUUGUUGACAGAGGAAUGGACUCUUCCAAUCAACCGGGACAAAGUUGUAUCGGCAAGAAGAUGCUACAGCAUUCUUGAGGACAGUCCU